RNAcentral lists this long non-coding RNA (1612 nucleotides) under Mustela putorius furo (domestic ferret). RNAcentral's name for it is "lncRNA (ENSMPUG00000029759.1)". Lineage: Eukaryota; Metazoa; Chordata; Mammalia; Carnivora; Mustelidae. The record is from RNAcentral.
UGGGGAGGCCAGAGACAUCAGAAGUGCAGGGACUCCGUGCCCACGGGCAAGAAUCUGACCGACAGGGACAGGAGAAAGCAGAAACCUGCAGAGAGUUCACGCUCACCCACCACCCUGCCACCUGGUCAUGAGACCUUUCUGAGCUGCACCCAGUCCCCACGGCCUUGCGGCGAUGCCUGGGGAAGCGAGCCGCACAGGAGCUUGCUGCAAAUGUGGCUUCGGCUCGAGUCACCUUCCUGUACGUUUUCCUUCUCUCUCUUCCUCACUGCCCUUUGUCUGCUCUUGUUUCCUCCACAUUGAACUUCCCAGUUAAAUGUUAAAUAGAAGCUUCUGACUCAAGAAUGAAAAAAAAAAAAAAAAUUCCCUGUUAGGGAACUUGGGCCAGGAUAGGGCUCCACAAAUACGUGCUGGGUCCACGGGGGCAUUAGAGGGCUUGAACUCCGGCUCCACCACGCAGGGAACGACUGAAGACUGAACACUUCCCUGGAAAAAGUCAGACAUUUACAAACCGUCUGCUUGGAAAGGUCGACAUGGGGGUUGUGUCCGUGGCUCAGACCCGCGCAAGAGGCACCUCAUCUCCUAAGGGAAGGGGAGAGACAGGAGAGAGACGAAGGCAGAGGAGGAACUGGAAACAUGCUCACAUUUGAGAAGCAGGAGAAAGAAAAAGAUCCCAGCCGCAGGCCUGCAGAGGCAGACGCCACUGGUGUUCAUUCAGCCCCCCCCCACGUCAGGCCACCUGCAGAUAACGUGUGGCCAGGGGUUACGGUUGAGCUGGUAGACAGAACUGACAACCAGACAGAGUUCCCGCCUUAUGGAGCUUGAGUUGAAUAGACGUGGGGGAGAUGUCCUGCUGGUCCUUUCGCCUCCUUCAGAUCUGCUGUGUCAGCGAGCUCGGCCACCCUCCUUGUGUCUGUGGGACACAAAGAAUGACCCUGAGGUCCUAGGGCUGUGGGAACCACGAGACAGAAGGGAUCCCCAUUCUUGAGUUGUGCGACUCGUCCCUCGGACGGUUCACGUGAGAGAGACACUUUUACUGUGUCGAGGCACUGCGAUUCGGGGUUUAUCUGUUACAGUAGUUGGUGCUGCGUCAUAACCUGGCGAGUGUUGGAAAAGCAAGAGGUGGAUGGUGAAGCUGAGGAGCAGAAGCAUGUUCUGGUCCCGAGGCCCGGCCUUGUGUGUCCUUCACACACCCCAGACAGGAAGAGGCUGUCUGGAGCGUCUUGGGAUCAGCAACCGGAGCGUCUUGGGAUCAGCAACCGUGGACUUGUUGGUAGCAAAUGCGUUUUUAUUUUAAAAGAUGAAGGAACUGAGGUGCGGAGCUCCCACAACUGGUAUCGAGAAGCCAGCCCAGGCCUGUACGACUCCGGAGCCUGCAAUUCUGACUGCUCUAGUAUAUUCCUUUGAUAGUUUAUUUGGAUCAGGCUGUUCUGAAUUAACUCUGGAAGUAAUAAUUUAGUAAAAAAAAAAAAAAAAUGAACAAAACCAAAAAAGUGUGUGUGUAUAUCUGUGAAGCCGGGAUCACCAUGACUUCAUACUUUAAAUAUGAAGGGGGAGGGGAGCUAACAUGAUGAGCUAAGUCCUUCCAUCCAGGAAAACCCAUAGCUCUGGGAGG